AUGCGUCGCGAGGGACGGCAGCGAGGGUGGGUGCGCGUGUACGACCGCGAGCUGGUCGACCCGGAGGGCAAGCGCCGCGCCGUGCACGCCGUGGAGGGCCCGGCGGUGGCCAACGGCGGGUUCAUCAGGGCGCCGCGGAAGCCGACCAACCAGUCCAAGUCCGGCGGCCUCCGCGCGCUCGGCAGGAGCGGCAUCGCGCAAGAGGAGAAGGAGGAGGAGCCGCAGGCCCUUCCGCCGACGAUGGCCGCGCGCUUCGGGUACUACUACUCGACGGGAUUGCAGUCGCCGUUCAAGUUCGAGUCCGCCAUGUACAACUACAAGAAAGUGGAGAUCCGUCCGCCGGCGGCAGCGCGCUUCGGGGGAAGAUCGUCGUGCAAGGCGGGGCGCAAGUUCAGGCACGACGAGGUCAAGAAGUACUACCUCGACGCGGCCGACGUCCUCGAUGGGCAGCUCGAUUAUCUUCAUGACUUCGAUUCGUGA
RNAcentral lists this ribosomal RNA (480 nucleotides) under Triticum aestivum (bread wheat). Its description in RNAcentral is "partial small subunit ribosomal RNA". Lineage: Eukaryota; Viridiplantae; Streptophyta; Magnoliopsida; Poales; Poaceae. The record is from RNAcentral.